This is a long non-coding RNA of Felis catus (domestic cat), 1732 nucleotides long. RefSeq lists it as uncharacterized. Lineage: Eukaryota; Metazoa; Chordata; Mammalia; Carnivora; Felidae. The transcript has 3 exons. The record is from RefSeq and is a predicted model, not a curated record.
GUUUUUAGUAUAUUCACAGAUACGUGCAACCAUCACCACAGUCAAUUUUAGAACGUUCUCAUCAUCCAAAAAAAACCCCAUACCCAUUAGCAGCUUCCCGCUAUUUCCUUCCAACCACCCCAGCCCUGGACAAGCACCUAUCUACUUUCUGCCUGUAUAGAUUUGCCUACUCUGGCCAUUUCAUAUAAAGGUAAUCAUACAACAUGUGAUCUUUUGUGACUGGAAAGGCAAGUGAUCUGAAGUGACUUAAGUUCAUUUCAAAGAGGAAAAGAGUCCUUUCUAUCAUUUUACGUGGGCUUUUGAUGGGGAGAAGAACAGACCCUUUCGGUACUAGGAACUGGUGGUAAGAGGCAAAGCCGAGUGAGCUAAGAGGGGUGGCCCUCGCUUCCCACUGUUGGCUGCGGCAGGUCCUGGCUGUCAGCAGUCAAUGUCACAGCUUCCGGAGGAUAAUUCAGAUGUUGGCAUAAAGAGAGAAGGACUCGCGGAAGCGGCCCCAUGUCUAGAUGCAGACUUUGUGUCAUGUUGUGAAUGCAACAUGUUCGACAGCAUUCCUGCCGAGGAAAUAUCUCCUACGAUGGGUGCACGCCUCUACAGAAGCAUCUCAAGACCUUUGCAGAAUAAAACGCUGUAAAACACAAUCACCUCCUUCUCUUGGGUAGAUGAGAGGAAAUCUUUACACUCUCCUUCUGGAAGACAGAUGAUGUUUGAAAGAAAACCUGAUUCUGAAAAUCUUAGCACCAAAGCCACGAACUCUUUUGCUAUAAAUGAAGUUGGGGAGGGAUUAGGAUUGAAUCUUGAUGGCGAUAUGAGUGGCUAGAAUUUUCCAACAGUGCUGGUGGGAGAAUAGAAAGGUUUGGCUGCUAUGGAACACUCUCUGGCAGUAUCUGAAAAUAUCAAACAUGUGCCUCCCCUAUGACACAGAAAUUCUACUCACACACACACACACACACACACACACGAGAAAACAGUGCAUACCACCUAAAGACAUGUGUAAGAAUGUUCUUAGUAGCUUUCUCACCGUAGCAAAAAACUGGAAGCAAACCAAAUGUCCGUUGGCAGGAGAAGGGAUGAAUAAAUUGUGGCAUCCGUACAAUGGAAUACAACACAGCAGUAAGAAGAACCACUGAGAUACACAACAAUAUAAACGAAUCUGGCACGAUUUUGAGUAAAAAAAAAAGCUAGAAACAACUGAGUUCCAUACUAGAUGGCUCAAUUUAGGUGAUUGUGAGUGGGCACACGUAGUCCUGAUAAUAAAAGUCACAGGGCUGCUGGCCUCAGGAUGAGGGCGGUAUUGACUGGGGAAGGGCAGCUGGGAACCAGCUGGGGGGGCUGGAAUUAUUCUAUGGUCUUGAUUUAUGUGGUAGCCACACUGUAAAAUUUUCACUUCGGUAAAAAUUUACCAGUUUGUAUCCUUAAGACAAGUGUACUUUACUGUAAAUGUACACACAGAGCCUAGCUAGCUGUGAAAGGAUAUUUUGCAAAGAUUGGGCUAUAAGAAAUCCGAGAGCUGCUUCCCUGGUGAGACUGGCUUAUUCGGUUUGAUUCUUUUGCCCACGCAAUCCGGCAAUCUGAAUCCCUGCCGAGGCUACUCUUUCUCAUGGGUGCCUAAAGUUCCUCUUACAGAGGAAGAAAGAAAAUCUGCCAUGCCUGGUCCGAUACACCUUCUGAAGACUGUAUUUGAAGUUAUGCUGGACGUUACUGCAUUUGAAAAUAGAGCAGCCAGACAGAAAAA